This 254-nucleotide ribosomal RNA is filed under the name uncultured bacterium. Its description in RNAcentral is "partial 16S ribosomal RNA". It matches the Rfam family "Bacterial small subunit ribosomal RNA", at positions 524 to 776 of the family's 1533-position model. The record is from RNAcentral.
UACGUAGGGAGCAAGCGUUGUCCGGAUUCACUGGGUGUAAAGGGUGCGACAGGCGGAUUUGUAAGUCAGAGGUGAAAUCUUACGGCUUAACCGUGAAACUGCCUUUGAUACUGCAGAUCUUGAGUUUGGGAGAGGUUGAUGGAAUUCCAGGUGUAGCGGUGAAAUGCGUAGAUAUCUGGAAGAACACCAGUGGCGAAGGCGGUCAACUGGCCCAUAACUGACGCUCAGGCACGAAAGCGUGGGUAGCGAACAGG